UACGAAGGGGGCUAGCGUUGCUCGGAAUCACUGGGCGUAAAGGGUGCGUAGGCGGGUCUUUUAAGUCAGGGGUGAAAUCCUGGAGCUCAACUCCAGAACUGCCUUUGAUACUGAGGAUCUUGAGUUCGGGAGAGGUGAGUGGAACUGCGAGUGUAGAGGUGAAAUUCGUAGAUAUUCGCAAGAACACCAGUGGCGAAGGCGGCUCACUGGCCCGAUACUGACGCUGAGGCACGAAAGCGUGGGGAGCAAACAGG
This 254-nucleotide ribosomal RNA is filed under the name uncultured bacterium. Its description in RNAcentral is "partial 16S ribosomal RNA". It matches the Rfam family "Bacterial small subunit ribosomal RNA", at positions 524 to 776 of the family's 1533-position model. The record is from RNAcentral.